Molecule: ribosomal RNA, 402 nt
Filed under: uncultured bacterium
Lineage: Bacteria
Description: bacterial SSU rRNA
Rfam family: Bacterial small subunit ribosomal RNA
Source: RNAcentral
GGAAUAUUGGGCAAUGGACGAAAGUCUGACCCAGCGACGCCGCGUGAGGGAAGAAGGUCUUCGGAUUGUAAACCUUAGUCAACAGGGACGAAGCAAGUGACGGUACCUGUGGAGGAAGCCACGGCUAACUACGUGCCAGCAGCCGCGGUAAUACGUAGGUGGCGAGCGUUAUCCGGAAUUACUGGGUGUAAAGGGUGUGUAGGCGGGAAGGCAAGUCGGAUGUGAAAAUUAUGGGCUCAACCCAUAAAGUGCGACCGAAACUGUCUUUCUUGAGGAUCGGAGAGGUAAUGAGAAUGCCCGGUGUAGCGGUGAAAUGCGCAGAGAUCGGGAGGAAUACCGGUGGCGAAGGCGAAUUACUGGACGAUAACUGACGCUGAGACACGAAAGCGUGGGGAGCAAACA